UUGCUCGCUUCGGCAGCACAUAUACUAAAAUUGGAAUGAUACAGAGAAGAUUAGCAUGGCCCCUGAGCAACGAUGACACGCAAAUUCAUGAAGAGUUCUAGUAUCAC
Small nuclear RNA from Sorex fumeus (smoky shrew), 107 nucleotides. The record is from RefSeq and is a predicted model, not a curated record. Lineage: Eukaryota; Metazoa; Chordata; Mammalia; Eulipotyphla; Soricidae.